AUUGACAUCUCCUAUUCGUCCUCAUAAUACACAUCAACCACUGAGAACACACUAAUUUUUUAUAAUUCUUCAUUGACUUACGUAUAUCAAACUGUACCACCUCAUCAUUUAUCCUGACUAAGAGCUCAUUCGCUCUCAAAUCAAUCAACACACUUUCGGUUGUUAGAAAAGGUCAACCCAAGAUUAUGGGUAUCUCAAAGUCCACCUCGCAGUCUUGAAUCACAAAAUCUGAAAGG
This 236-nucleotide long non-coding RNA is filed under the name Capsicum annuum. RNAcentral describes it as "long non-coding RNA (CANN_LNC008710)". The record is from RNAcentral. Lineage: Eukaryota; Viridiplantae; Streptophyta; Magnoliopsida; Solanales; Solanaceae.